RNAcentral lists this ribosomal RNA (803 nucleotides) under uncultured marine bacterium. RNAcentral's name for it is "bacterial SSU rRNA". It matches the Rfam family "Bacterial small subunit ribosomal RNA", at positions 57 to 908 of the family's 1533-position model. The record is from RNAcentral.
GCAAGUCGAACGAAGUAGCAAUACUUAGUGGCAGACGGGUGAGUAACAUGUAGGUAUCUGCCCUUUGGCCUGGAAUAACACGAGGAAACUUGUGCUAAUACCGGAUAAGUCUUUACGGAGAAAGCUUUAUGCACCAUUGGAUGAGCCUGCACUUGAUUAGUUUGUUGGUGGGGUAAUGGCCUACCAAGACUUUGAUCAAUAGCUGAUUUGAGAGGAUGAUCAGCCACAUUGGGACUGAGACACGGCCCAAACUCCUACGGGAGGCAGCAGUGGGGAAUCUUGCACAAUGGAGGAAACUCUGAUGCAGCGAUGCCGCGUGAGUGAAGAAGGCCCUUGGGUUGUAAAGCUCUUUCGUCGGGGAAGAAAAUGACUGUACCCGAAUAAGAAGGUCCGGCUAACUUCGUGCCAGCAGCCGCGGUAAUACGAAGGGACCUAGCGUAGUUCGGAAUUACUGGGCUUAAAGAGUUCGUAGGUGGUUGAAAAAGUUGGUGGUGAAAUCCCAGAGCUUAACUCUGGAACUGCCAUCAAAACUUUUCAGCUAGAGUAUGAUAGAGGAAAGCAGAAUUUCUAGUGUAGAGGUGAAAUUCGUAGAUAUUAGAAAGAAUACCAAUUGCGAAGGCAGCUUUCUGGAUCAUUACUGACACUGAGGAACGAAAGCAUGGGUAGCGAAGAGGAUUAGAUACCCUCGUAGUCCAUGCCGUAAACGAUGUGUGUUAGACGUUGGAAAUUUAUUUUCAGUGUCGCAGCGAAAGCGAUAAACACACCGCCUGGGGAGUACGACCGCAAGGUUAAAACUCAAAUGA